AGUGUUGCUGAGUUGUAUCCAGAGCUAGGACAAUCUGGAAGUACAUUCCUGGUUAUCUUUUAACUGCACCUUUCCAGAGAAUGCACUUUAUCUUUUAAAAAAUUGUAUCUUUGAACAAUGCAACUUUUGAUAAUGUAAUGUGAAUGCUACAGGAAACAAAAAGGGAAUGCUUUAAAAGAAUCGUUGACCUUUAAAUGCCUGAUUCCCUUUACCAAUAAAAAGAGCUGUAAAGUGUAGCGAACAGCACCUGAUUGAUGGGAAUGUGAUGAUAAUCCAGCUCCUCCACUUGACAAGCCACAGAGAACAUCCAGAUAAAACAGCCUGUGCUUCUGACACCCAGAAAUGGCUGAAACGACUGCCAGAAGUUAUUGAGCUGGAGAGAAUUUUAAAUGUGAGCUGGAGAAUGCAGUAAUGAAACUUCCCUUAAUAAGUUUUAUAAACAGACAUAUUCAAAAAUUAUUGAAGCCAGCUGAAAGUAACUGUUUAGGAGUUUUGGGUAAGUCCUGGAGCUGUCAGAUUUUAGUUAUAAAUGUAUUUGUACUUAGUUAUGUGCACACUCUUCCUUCUAGACCCAUUUGUUUUGUAACAGGACUUAAAAAAAUUUCACCUGGCAAGUCAGUCUUUAGCUGUAGACGGAAUCUAGGAUCUGAGCACCAAGUGUGGGGUGUUGAAAUAUGAUUUAAACAUAAAAGACAGAAAGUGGCACUGUGGAGGUAUGAAGCACUGCAGCUGAAACGGAACAAUGUUGCUUAGUGUUAGAGAGUAAACAAAUGUUUUAUUCCUGACAAAGGGCAGAAUUUGGUCAGUAAG
This is a long non-coding RNA of Zonotrichia leucophrys gambelii, 810 nucleotides long. RefSeq lists it as uncharacterized. The transcript is spliced from 3 exons. The record is from RefSeq and is a predicted model, not a curated record. Lineage: Eukaryota; Metazoa; Chordata; Aves; Passeriformes; Passerellidae.